GGAAAAACCAUUCCCACAGGGAAUACGGGCUGAAGAGUACAUUUGCAGAAACUUGGUGGAAAUGGGGUGGGGCUGGAGGGUCCUCCAAAUACUACCUAUGAAAGAAAGAAAGAAAGAAAGAAAGAAAGAAAGAAAGAAAGAAAGAAAGGUGAUUUAAAAUGGAGGCCUGUGUUCCUAUUUACUUCCUUAGUUGGGGAAAGCCUAGAAUCUUCUUAUUCAGGACCUUCCAGGAAUAUUUGUGCAUAUAAUUAAAGUCUUAUCCUUUUUUUUUUUUAAACUCUUGGUACUGUUGAAGUUGCAUGUUGCCUGAUGCUCAUGAGGUCUCAAGUGCCAUGUUUGAUAACGAAAUGUGUUUAUUUUUUGUUUUUUGCUUUUUUUUUUUUUGCUCCCCCGCCCCCCGCUCCCGCCCCUCUGCUGCUGACAGAUAAUUGAUGGUCUACCAUUUCCCUCUGCAACAUGGUGGUUGUAUCCAGAGAAAAAUGUAUCUUUAGAAAGAUUCCUUUUGCAGGGGAAGGGAGUGGAUACAGUGGAUACAGUGUAGCCCUGUGGUUUUAGGGUGGACCUGAAGCAUGCUUGAGAGCAGCUGCAUUGUGGCGUUGGGAGGGAGGUGCUGCAGCGGGGCGUGAUAGUGGGAGACUGCAGUGUCUAGGCAUUGUCUGCCAUUCCUAAGUAUUUUAACCAUAAAAUGACUAACAAACAGGAAAUUAGGUGGCUGCUGCAUAGAGUACCUUUGACCACAUUUCAAUACUAAAUUCACAGUUUUGACUUAAAAUUUUCACCCUUCCAGUGACAAUUACGUCAUUCCUUCAUCGCCUCAUGAGUUUAAAAAACCCAAAGAGAAAACAAAACAACAACAACAAAACUCAAAAGGGAAAAAAAAAGCUAUUUAAAAACAGCAGAGCCCUUAAUUCUUGCUUGUUACUCUAUGGUGAGAUACUUCAGGUAGAUGCUAUGUUGGAUGUGUCUGUUGUUUUUCACUGCGUCGUCAUGUGAAGGAGGUUUGCAGUUGUGUCAUUGUGUGUCUGUUGUGUGCUGCUUCUGCUGCUUUCCAAGGCCAUCAUCCAGGUGAAGUGUGACAAGCCUGUUUCUUAACCCACGCCCUCACUUUCCUUUCUCAGGUGCUGGAGAGUCUGGCAAAAGCACCAUUGUGAAGCAGAUGAGGAUCCUGCAUGUUAAUGGGUUUAACGGAGAGUAAGUGUCAAAUCUGAGCAGGGCACUGAGCAGGACAGGUGGUAUGGACCUGGCCUGCAGGAGACAGGACGUUUGAAGGAGUGUAUACUAACCUCUAGAAAGCACAGCUGCUAAUUGCCACUAAUCAUUUUUUUCUAAUUUGCAUAUUAGACAGCCCAAGAAAGAGCUGAUGGGUGCACCCCCACACCCUUCUCAACCUUUGGGGCAACAAAUAGGAAUAAGAGUAGAAGCACCGGUGUCCACCCAAAGCAGCCCCUCGCGCUGGAACAUGGUGCCUGGUUGCAGAGGACAGUGAACAGCACUUGGCCGGGUGACAGCGUCUCUGAGGCCAGGUCCUCUGCGGCCGCAGCCUCGCCUGCUGCAGUGCAGCUCCAACAUGGCCGACGGGCCUUGGCCACCCCUUGGCCAGCCAGAGCUGGCCAGCACAGGAGGUUCCCACCCACCACCCUGCAGGUUUCACUGGAGUCAACUGGUGUAGGGUUUUGUACUCUCAGGAAAACAUCUUUUCAGUUACAUCUUCACUUAAAAAUUGGAAUCCACAACCCUUGCCGACAGGCUCUAAGCUUCCGAGUCCCUCCCUGCUUCAGAAUUGGUGGGAUAGGCAGAGACUUAUUUCUCUAAUUAAAAAAAAAAAUCAAUACUUCUACCUGAACAACUGAAAAGGAGGUAUGAAAAUGGCGCAGAGACAGGGAGUUAGCUACUUCUGCCCAAUCCAGGAGCUGUUUUGCCUUUGAAAUGACCUUCCUGGCUUAAGACAAUAUGGCGAGGCAAUACCACAGUGAGAGUGACGAUUUUUCUUAAAAAGAGACAGAUACAUGGCAAGCAAGGGGUCCUGCCUUCCAUGAAGAAUGCAGACCGAGGAGACAGCCAAUCAGUAAGGAAUUGGCCUUUCCCCUUGGCCCCCGUUGUUCUCAGUGCUGAUAAGAAACAGCAAGGGUCAGGGACUUAGCUGACCCUAGCGAGGGGGACCAGCUUCUGUCCCCUACCAUGCACCGAGUGCUGGGGAGACAAAAUUGAGCAGCACCUUUCAGGGUACCACAAGCGAAUGUUCAUGGAAACUUCUAGAAUUUGUUAGUUUAACUAAUCCGGUUUAAAAAACAAGAUGACAUCAGCCACAUGAAAGCUUUGGGUCCGUGUGUGCUCCUUAAGUUACAGCCCCAAAAUUCAUAGUUAGUUAAUAUGCAGAAGGGAGGGGGGCUAGCUCACUGGCUUUAGGAUUGACUCAAUUACUACUUUGUACCUAUAAUCUAUUAAAUAAUUCAUUGUUGCCUAUCAGACACAAAUUCUGGAACUAUUGAUUCCUGAUAUGCCUCUCUCAAGAAGUCUAUACAAGGAGAUUGGCACCUGUCAGUCAACAAAAAAGAACCCAGAUAACACCCUGCCCCAGGUGUGAGGGACUCUUCAAUAUGAGGCUGGUUAAGCAAAUAUUUCUUCAAAAAUAUUCGUGGUGAAAGCUGGAGGAGGCUGCUAAGCAGCUUUUAAAAUGCGGUAGCCAUUGUCUAACCUGAUGAGAGCCGUGUCAUCCCUGAGGCUUAAUUGCUUCACAAAUUUCCCUAAAAUCUUACUUUUUAAUAUUAGUUUUCCCUGAGUGUUAAUGUGGUGGAGGAUUCUAAACCAGGACUUCUCAUUUCUAUUUUCUCUCUGAAAAGAGGAAGAAGCCUUCGCAGUUUGCCUUCCUUGUGGGUCUCCAAGAUGUUAAAUUUAGCCUGAGAAAGUGAUAUUCAGGCCUCCAUGGGGGGCUGGAUUCCUUAUUUUGACCCAGUCGAACGAUGGUUCUCUCACUGUGGUAUAGCAGUAAAAGCGGCUCCGUCUGACCCUCACCUCAGUCCCGCUCUCAGUUCUUGGACAGAGCUAUUAAAUGUGUCCUAACUGUCCAUGGCCUGCCUACCACUACAUUUUUCGAGAGUAGAACAUAAUAUUUAUUUGACCUUCAGAAAUACAGAGGGCAAAGUAGAUUUUCCUAACACAGAGCUAACUUUCUGAAGUUUAAUGCC
This 3185-nucleotide long non-coding RNA is filed under the name Mus musculus (house mouse). RNAcentral describes it as "long non-coding RNA chr2:174333093-174336278". Lineage: Eukaryota; Metazoa; Chordata; Mammalia; Rodentia; Muridae. The record is from RNAcentral.